This 492-nucleotide ribosomal RNA is filed under the name uncultured bacterium. RNAcentral describes it as "partial 16S ribosomal RNA". It matches the Rfam family "Bacterial small subunit ribosomal RNA", at positions 29 to 507 of the family's 1533-position model. The record is from RNAcentral.
AGCGAACGCUGGCGGUAGGCCUAACACAUGCAAGUCGAACGGCAGCACAGUAAGAGCUUGCUCUUACGGGGGGCGAGUGGCGGACGGGUGAGGUAUAUAUCGGAACCUACUCUUUCGUGUGGGUCAACGUAGGGAAACUUACGCCAAUAUCGCAUACGACCUACGGUUGAAAGCAGGGGAUCUUCGGACCUUGCGCGAUUGAAUGAGCGGAUGUGGGAUUAGCUAGUUGGCGGGGUAAAGGCCCACCAAGGCGACGAUCCGUAGCUGGUCUGAGAGAAUGAUCGGCCACCUUAGAGGUGGGACACGGUCCAGGCUCCUGCGGGACGCAGCAGUGGGGAAUGUUAGGCAAUGGGCGCAAAUCUGAUCCAGCCAUACCGCGUGGGUGAAGGAGGCCUUCGGGUUGUGAAGACCGUUUGUUGGGAAAGAAAAGCAGCAGGUUAAUACCAAGCUGUUGUGACGGUACUCAAAGAAUAAGCACCGGCUAACUUCGUG